AGAGUUGAUCCUGGCUUAGGAUGAACGCUGGCGGCGUGCCUAACACAUGCAAGUCGAACGAGCGAGAGAUGAAACCUAGUGAUUCCCAAGCGAGUGGCGGACGGGUGAGUAACGCGUGGGUAACCUGCCUUACAGAGGGGGAUAACAGUCUGAAAAGACUGCUAAUACCGCAUAAGCACACAGUACCGCAUGGUACAGGGUGAAAAGAUUUAUCACUGUAAGAUGGACCCGCGUCUGAUUAGCCAGUUGGCAGGGUAACGGCCUACCAAAGCGACGAUCAGUAGCCGACCUGAGAGGGUGAUCGGCCACAUUGGGACUGAGACACGGCCCAAACUCCUACGGGAGGCAGCAGUGGGGGAUAUUGCACAAUGGAGGAAACUCUGAUGCAGCGAACCGCCGCGUGAGUGAAGAAGUAUUUCGGUAUGUAAAGCUCUAUCAGCAGGGAAGAUAAUGACAGUACCUGACCAAGAAGCCCCGGCUAACUACGUGCCAGCAGCUGC
Molecule: ribosomal RNA, 500 nt
Filed under: uncultured bacterium
Lineage: Bacteria
Description: bacterial SSU rRNA
Rfam family: Bacterial small subunit ribosomal RNA
Source: RNAcentral